UUCCUGACUUUCCCAUCGUUCGGGGCAUUCUGGGGCUGUUUUGGCUAUUGGUUGCUUGUUUGGUCUUGAGCCGAAGGGUGGCUUCUAGCCGGUGGCUUCGGGGAUGUUGUCCGUAAAGGUGGAUGAGUGGUGUUUGGUUUGUCACGUGUGGUUGGCUGCGGCGUUUGCAACAACUUCCAUGCUUUCAGACCUCUUCAGUUGUGCGGCAAGGCUUGUAUUGCCCUUGCGGAAUGGGGGUUUUCUGUGUUGGAAACCUAAACAAUGGUAUCGGUUGGAUUGAUCAAUGUUUCAUUUCGUCUGUCGUCGCAUUCGCGGCGUGAGACGAACCUCGAUGCGGUCUCUUUGGCCCACCUCGUCGAAGCACAUGCUUUGACGUUGUGGCACAUUGAGCAUUGCUUGGUCUCUUGUAUACGGAACAUAUAGUGGGCAUGGAUCUAACGAUUCUUGUUUGCCCUCAUGUUAGCGUAACGCUUCUCUUACACGACUUGCUCCACGUUUUAG
This 501-nucleotide unclassified non-coding RNA is filed under the name Artemisia vulgaris (common mugwort). RNAcentral's name for it is "external transcribed spacer". Lineage: Eukaryota; Viridiplantae; Streptophyta; Magnoliopsida; Asterales; Asteraceae. The record is from RNAcentral.